RNAcentral lists this ribosomal RNA (339 nucleotides) under uncultured bacterium. RNAcentral describes it as "bacterial SSU rRNA". It matches the Rfam family "Bacterial small subunit ribosomal RNA", at positions 30 to 371 of the family's 1533-position model. The record is from RNAcentral.
AUUGAACGCUGGCGGCAUGCCUAACACAUGCAAGUCGAACGGUAACAGGGGCUUCGGCCCGCUGACGAGUGGCGGACGGGUGAGUAACGCGUAGGAAUCCUCCCAGUAGCGGGGAUAGCUCGGCGAAAGCCGGAUUAAUACCGCAUACGCCCCGACGGGGGAAAGCAGGGGAUCGUAAGACCUUGCACUAUUGGAUGAGCCUACGUCUGAUUAGCUAGUUGGUAGGUAAAGCCUACCAAGGCGACGAUCAGUAGCUGGUCUGAGAGGACGAUCAGCCACACUGGGACUGAGACACGGCCCAGACUCCUACGGGAGGCAGCAGUGGGGAAUAUUGGACAA